RNAcentral lists this non-coding RNA (24 nucleotides) under Arabidopsis thaliana (thale cress). Lineage: Eukaryota; Viridiplantae; Streptophyta; Magnoliopsida; Brassicales; Brassicaceae. The record is from RNAcentral.
UUGGUCUUGGUUCCUGGCAGUGAC